UGGGGAAUAUUGCGCAAUGGACGAAAGUCUGACGCAGCGACGCCGCGUGAGGGAUGAAGGUCUUCGGAUUGUAAACCUCUGUUAAGUGGGAAGAAAUACGCAGGAGUAAUAUGCCUGUGGGCUGACGGUACCACUAGAGAAAGCACCGGCAAACUUCGUGCCAGCAGCCGCGGUAAUACGAAGGGUGCAAGCGUUAUUCGGAGUUACUGGGCGUAAAGAGCGCGUAGGCGGCUUAUUAAGUUGACUGUUAAAUUCCCCGGCUUAACCGGGGCUAAGCGGUCAAUACUGAUGGAGCUAGAGGUUAGGAGAGAGAAGUGGAAUUCUUGGAGUAGCGGUAAAAUGCGUAGAUCUCAAGAGGAACACCGAUUGCGAAGGCAGCUUCUUGGCCUAUACCUGACGCUGAGGUGCGAAAGCGUGGGGAGCAAACAGGAUUAGAUACCCCCGUAGUCC
RNAcentral lists this ribosomal RNA (450 nucleotides) under uncultured bacterium. Its description in RNAcentral is "bacterial SSU rRNA". It matches the Rfam family "Bacterial small subunit ribosomal RNA", at positions 355 to 796 of the family's 1533-position model. The record is from RNAcentral.